Molecule: long non-coding RNA, 533 nt
Filed under: Mytilus galloprovincialis (Mediterranean mussel)
Lineage: Eukaryota; Metazoa; Mollusca; Bivalvia; Mytilida; Mytilidae
Source: RNAcentral
CCCCAGGCUUACGAUGUCCCAUUCAUACAGUUGUAGUACUAUUAUAUAGUAUAUCAAUCUGAUACUACAUUAUGUUGUGAUACCUGUCAGGUGUAACGAAAGGUCAAUCACGUUGUACUGCAUUUGUACAAUCAUUGAAAGAUUUGUUCGACUUCACACUAUACUUGAUAUAGAUCCAAAACAAAAACGUCAAGUUGAUUUUUUCAUAUUCCUUAUAAAAAUAUUGAUUUUGCAUACGUAUCAAGUUUCUUUCAUGAUAUCUUUGUACUUUUUCGAUUGUUGUUAAAUGUAUGAUGUAUUCUAUCACUACAUCGAGUUUGAUACGAUAUCUUUGUCCAUAUCUUUGUUUUCAUGUUUGUUGAUAUCACAUAUAAUACGUAUCCUGUUUCUUUCCCGAUAUCUUUGAACUUUUUCAAUGUUUUAUUCCGUAUAUUUGUUUUCAUAUCUAUAUAAAAUGUUGAUUUUGCAUACGUAUUCGUUUUCUUUAACGAUAUCUUUGUAAUGUUAUUGAUUGAUUGUUGGUUGCUUUACGC